AGUGAACGCUGGCGGUAGGCCUAACACAUGCAAGUCGAACGGCAGCACAGUAAGAGCUUGCUCUUACGGUUGGCGAGUGGCGGACGGGUGAGGAAUACAUCGGAAUCUACUUUUUCUUGGGGGAUAACGUAGGGAAACUUACGCUAAUACCGCAUACGACCUACGGGUGAAAGCAGGGGAUCUUCGGACCUUUCGCGAUUGGAUUAGCCGAUGUCGGAUUAGCUAGUUGGCGGGGUAAAGGCCCACCAAGGCGACGAUCCGUAGCUGGUCUGAGAGGAUGAUCAGCCACACUGGAACUGAGACACGGUCCAGACUCCUACGGGAGGCAGCAGUGGGGAAUAUUGGACAAUGGGCGAAAGCCUGAUCCAGCCAUACCGCGUGGGUGAAGAAGGCCUUCGGGUUGUAAAGCCCUUUUGUUGGGAAAGAAAAGCAGCAGGUUAAUACCCCGCUGUUCUGACGGUACCCAAAGAAUAAGCACCGGCUAACUUCGUG
This 492-nucleotide ribosomal RNA is filed under the name uncultured bacterium. RNAcentral describes it as "partial 16S ribosomal RNA". It matches the Rfam family "Bacterial small subunit ribosomal RNA", at positions 29 to 507 of the family's 1533-position model. The record is from RNAcentral.